Molecule: non-coding RNA, 28 nt
Filed under: Bombyx mori (domestic silkworm)
Lineage: Eukaryota; Metazoa; Arthropoda; Insecta; Lepidoptera; Bombycidae
Source: RNAcentral
UGACAUUGUUUGACAAGUCUGCUAUGAA